RNAcentral lists this unclassified non-coding RNA (401 nucleotides) under Hevea brasiliensis (rubber tree). Lineage: Eukaryota; Viridiplantae; Streptophyta; Magnoliopsida; Malpighiales; Euphorbiaceae. The record is from RNAcentral.
GAUCUCUUCAAUAAUGUUACCAGAGUAAGUAAUGCUAAAACAUAAUCUUCUAUACUAUUGUUAGAAUGAUUCUUGUUCUGAUAGCCCCAAAAGUGCAAGAAUUUAAGUGAAUUGAAUUCUGUUUGGCUAUUUUAUUGUAAAACUGUUUCAAUUUUGAUGCAAAAAGUAUUCCACAUGAAAUGUUAAAGAAAAGAUAUUAAGAAAAUAAAACCAUCCCUUUACUUGAACUGCUAAGCUCUUGGUUGGCUUAUGCAUAGAACCACAACCAAGGCUAUUGAUGCAAAUUUCGUUAUAUGUUCAUUUCCUUUGAUUAUAGUUUUGGAUUACUAGGCAAAUGUUAUUGACAGUAGACAAAAUAAUAUUUCAUGUUAAUUGAAUUUGCAGCUAGAUUAUGCAGCGAG